AUACGGAGGGAGCUAGCGUUGUUCGGAAUUACUGGGCGUAAAGCGUACGUAGGCGGACUGAUCAGUUGGGGGUGAAAUCCCAGGGCUUAACCCUGGAACUGCCUUCAAUACUGUCAGUCUUGAGUUUGGGAGAGGUGAGUGGAAUUCCUAGUGUAGAGGUGAAAUUCAUAGAUAUUAGGAGGAACACCAGUGGCGAAGGCGGCUCACUGGCCCAUUACUGACGCUGAGAUACGAAAGCGUGGGGAGCAAACAGGAUUAGAAACCCUAGUAGUCC
This 274-nucleotide ribosomal RNA is filed under the name uncultured bacterium. RNAcentral describes it as "partial 16S ribosomal RNA". It matches the Rfam family "Bacterial small subunit ribosomal RNA", at positions 523 to 796 of the family's 1533-position model. The record is from RNAcentral.